GCAGCAGGCGCGAAAACUUUACAAUGCUGGUAACAGCGAUAAGGGAACCUCGAGUGCCAGGUUACAAAUCUGGCUGUCGAGAUGCCUAAAAAGCAUUUCAUAGCAAGGGCCGGGCAAGACCGGUGCCAGCCGCCGCGGUAAUACCGGCGGCUCGAGUGGUGGCCACUUUUAUUGGGCUUAAAGCGUUCGUAGCUGGGUUGUUAAGUCUCUUGAGAAAUCUGGCAGCUUAACUGUCAGGCUUUCAGGAGAUACUGUCUGGCUCGAGGCCGGGAGAGGUGAGAGGUACUUCAGGGGUAGGGGUGAAAUCUUGUAAUCCUUGAAGGACCACCAGUGGCGAAGGCGUCUCACCAGAACGGACCUGACGGCAAGGGACGAAAGCUAGGGGCACGAACCGGAUUAGAUACCCGGGUAGUCCUAGCCGUAAACGAUACUCGCUAGGUGUCGGCCACGGUGCGACCGUUGUCGGUGCCGUAGGGAAGCCGUGAAGCGAGCCACCUGGGAAGUACGGCCGCAAGGCUGAAACUUAAAGGAAUUGGCGGGGGAGCAC
Molecule: ribosomal RNA, 547 nt
Filed under: uncultured archaeon
Lineage: Archaea
Description: bacterial SSU rRNA
Rfam family: Archaeal small subunit ribosomal RNA
Source: RNAcentral